Molecule: non-coding RNA, 1649 nt
Organism: Odocoileus virginianus texanus
Lineage: Eukaryota; Metazoa; Chordata; Mammalia; Artiodactyla; Cervidae
Source: RefSeq, a predicted model, not a curated record
AAAUUAUAUAGUAUAGUCUUACUGAGUUGCAAAAAAUCUGUUAAGAAACUCAUUUUGCUUUUGUGUAUUCCAUUUUCAGAGCAGUGGAAAGAGCUCAGUGCUAGAAAGCCUAGUGGGGAGGGACCUGCUUCCCAGAGGCACUGGUAUUGUCACCCGGAGACCUCUCAUUCUGCAGCUAGUCCAUGUUUCACCUGAAGAUAAACGAAAAACAACAGGAGAAGAAAAUGACCCUGCUACAUGGAAAAACUCAAGACACCUUUCUAAAGGGGUUGAAGCAGAAGAAUGGGGUAAAUUUCUUCACACCAAAAAUAAGCUUUACACAGAUUUUGAUGAAAUUCGACAAGAAAUUGAAAAUGAAACAGAGAGGAUUUCAGGAAAUAAUAAGGGAGUAAGCCCUGAACCAAUUCAUCUUAAGAUUUUUUCACCCAAUGUUGUCAAUCUGACACUUGUGGAUUUGCCAGGAAUGACCAAGGUAAAAAUAGUUGUGACUCAAUAUGGAUGUGGUCAUGUUUGUUUUUACUUGAACAAACAACAUAGUUUUUCCUUAACCUCAUAUGGAAUGAUCAGCCUUUUUUUUUUUUUUGCAAUUAUCUUGAUCUUUUAGCAGCAUUUGACAUAGUUGAGCCCUCCUUUCUCCUUGAAACACUUUUCUUUACUCAGCUUCCGGGACACCACACUCUAGAGGAUUAUUUCUGAUCUUACCAGCCACUCCUUCUCAGUCUCUUUUGCUGAUUACUUAUCUUCUCAAUGUCUAAACAGUGAGUAUCCCAUAGCUCAAUUUUUGGACCUCUUGUCAAGGGGGUACACUUAACCUCUUGAUGAUUGCAUCCAGUCUUAUGAUUUUAAAUAUGAGUAUCUGUAUUCUGACCACUUUCAAAUAUUUCCAGACUUACAUAUUCAUCUUGUAUGUCUACUUGAUGUAUACUUGUCUGAAUUUAAAACAUGAUGUGUCUGAUCCAAAUGCCUGAUCUGUCCCUCAACCUGACUUGGUCUUUCUAUAGUCUCCCCCAUCUCAAUAAAUGGCAACUCUGUUGUACCAGUUACUUAGCCAACAAGUUUGUAGUCAUCCUUGACAUUUCUUAUCCUAUACCAUACUUUCCCUGUUAGCAAAUCCUGUUAGCUUUCCUUAACUUAAAAUACGGGCAUACGUUGUGGUAUUUCAAAUUUAGUUCCAGACCAUCCCAGUAAGUGAAUAUUGCAGUGAAGUGAGUAUCACAGUAAAACAAAUAUACAAAUUUUUUUGUUUAUCCAUUGCAUAUAAAAGUUAUGUUUAUACUAUACAAUUGACCCUUGAACAAGGGGUUUGAACUACAUGGGUCUACUUAUAUGUGAUAUGUGAAUUUUUUUCAAUAAAUAUAUUGGAAAAUUUUUUGAAGAUUUGUAACAAUUUGAAAAAACUUGCAGACAACUGCAUAGCCUAGAACAGCUGGAAAAGAUUAAUAAAAAUUAAUACACAAAUUAGUGUAAAAAGUUAAAAUUUAUCAAAACCUAUACCCACAGACAUAGACUGUACAUGGUGCUUUAAGUAGAAAGAAAUGUAAACAGAUGUGAAGAUGCAGUAUUUAAUUAUAACUGCAUAAGGUUGGCUGUAGUACAUACUGCACUAAUGUAAUAAUUUCACAGCCACCUUCUAUUCCUGUUGCACUGAG